GACGAACGCUGGCGGCGUGCUUAACACAUGCAAGUCGAACGGAAAGGCCCUGCUUUUGUGGGGUGCUCGAGUGGCUAACGGGUGAGUAACACGUGAGUAACCUGCCCUUGACUUUGGGAUAACUUCAGGAAACUGGGGCUAAUACCGGAUAUGAGCUCCUGCUGCAUGGUGUGGGUUGGAAAGUUUCGGCGGUUGGGGAUGGACUCGCGGCUUAUCAGCUUGUUGGUGGGGUAGUGGCUUACCAAGGCUUUGACGGGUAGCCGGCCUGAGAGGGUGACCGGCCACAUUGGGACUGAGAUACGGCCCAGACUCCUACGGGAGGCAGCAGUGGGGAAUAUUGCACAAUGGGCGGAAGCCUGAUGCAGCAACGCAGCGUGCGGGAUGACGGCCUUCGGGUUGUAAACCGCUUUCGCCUGUGACGAAGCGUGAGUGACGGUAAUGGGUAAAGAAGCACCGGCUAACUACGUG
This 468-nucleotide ribosomal RNA is filed under the name uncultured bacterium. RNAcentral describes it as "partial 16S ribosomal RNA". It matches the Rfam family "Bacterial small subunit ribosomal RNA", at positions 28 to 507 of the family's 1533-position model. The record is from RNAcentral.